CCGGCGCACGGGUGAGUAACGCGUAUGCAACUUACCUAUCAGGAGGGGAUAACCCGGCGAAAGUCGGACUAAUACCGCAUAAAGCAGGGAUCCCGCAUGGGAAUAUUUGCUAAAGAUUCAUCGCUGAUAGAUAGGCAUGCGUUCCAUUAGGCAGUUGGCGGGGUAACGGCCCACCAAACCGACGAUGGAUAGGGGUUCUGAGAGGAAGGUCCCCCACAUUGGUACUGAGACACGGACCAA
Molecule: ribosomal RNA, 240 nt
Filed under: uncultured bacterium
Lineage: Bacteria
Description: partial 16S ribosomal RNA
Rfam family: Bacterial small subunit ribosomal RNA
Source: RNAcentral